Lepus europaeus (European hare) is the source of this 482-nucleotide long non-coding RNA. RefSeq lists it as uncharacterized. The record is from RefSeq and is a predicted model, not a curated record. The transcript has 3 exons. Lineage: Eukaryota; Metazoa; Chordata; Mammalia; Lagomorpha; Leporidae.
UUCUUCUUCUUCUUCUUCAAGGUUUCAGGCUGGGGGGCCGGCAGCCCUCGGUCCCCGCCCCCACCCCGCGCCCGGCGCAGACCCUCCAGAAGGCCGGGAUUUUUGAGCUAUAAAGAGAAAGGCAUUGAAAUCAAGUCACCGCCAGGAUUCGAAAUUAUCACCAAACACCCAAAGCUGUUGCUUUCAGAUUGAGGGUAAGAGCCUCUCCCUGCCAGUCAAGCAGGCUGUUCCCAAGGUUUCGGAAGCCUGUGACUCCAGAAAGAGUCAUGAUUACUGCAGACUGUCGCCAACCAGAUCUGAUUCCCAGAGCUGUGGGGAAAUGGCAUUGCCGUUUGUGUCACUGAAUGAUCUUAAUUCAAAGAGAAUUGAAAUAAGUAGUAAACAAGCUAACUGUAAUAAAAAUAUGCUUGCAAGUUAAAUUGUUGGUAAUAAGAACAUAUAUAAACAUAUUUAUACAGUAGAGGUUUCCAGUUACUGUCAAC